This 485-nucleotide ribosomal RNA is filed under the name uncultured bacterium. RNAcentral describes it as "partial 16S ribosomal RNA". It matches the Rfam family "Bacterial small subunit ribosomal RNA", at positions 29 to 508 of the family's 1533-position model. The record is from RNAcentral.
AUUGAACGCUGGCGGAAUGCUUUACACAUGCAAGUCGAACGGCAGCACGGGGGCAACCCUGGUGGCGAGUGGCGAACGGGUGAGUAAUACAUCGGUACGUGCCCGGUCGUGGGGGCUAACGUAGCGAAAGUUACGCUAAUACCGCAUCCGAUCUGAGGAUGAAAGCGGGGGACCUUCGGGCCUCGCGCGAUCGGAGCGGCCGAUGUCAGAUUUGGUAGUUGGUGGGGGAAAGGGCUACCAAGCCGACGGUCUGUAGCUGGUCUGAGAGGACGACCAGCCACACUGGGACCGGGAACCGGCCCAGACCCCUACGGGGGGCAACAGUGGGGAAUUUUGGAGAAUGGGCGGAAGCCUGAUCCAGCCAAUCCGGGUGCAGGACGAAGGCCUUCGGGUUGUAAACUGCUUUUGUAUGGAACGAAAAGGCUCUGGCUAAUACCUGGGGCUCAUGACGGUACCGUAAGAAUAAGCACCGGCUAACUACGUGC